AUCGAGGUUGCCUAGGGUGCCGGGUCACUCAGAGGUGAAGACAUCAACAGCUGCCACUCUCCUCGAGGUCGAGCUCGAGUCUGCUUUGGAAAUACUGCGAGAGCCCCCACCAACCGCUGGACGGGCUCCCAGGUCGCUGCUCGUUUGCUCCCGCCUGCGUGUGAGAGGAAGAAUGCCCCUUGAAUGCAGAUGGAUUCAUUAGGGUUCCAGCAGAUGGUGCCAAAAAGUGUGGGCUGGUGCACAAAAGUGCGUCUUUGUGCGGUCAGGAACGUUCCUGAGAGGCGAAGGAGGCCGCUGUCGCUCAACUCACCUUCACAUUAGGCAACACAACAGCCAGCAGAGUGGAGCGGGACGAAGAGGUUCUCGGAUGAAAGGCGAUGGUGUA
Oreochromis niloticus (Nile tilapia) is the source of this 385-nucleotide long non-coding RNA. RefSeq lists it as uncharacterized. The record is from RefSeq and is a predicted model, not a curated record. Lineage: Eukaryota; Metazoa; Chordata; Actinopteri; Cichliformes; Cichlidae. The transcript has 3 exons.